RNAcentral lists this ribosomal RNA (480 nucleotides) under uncultured bacterium. Its description in RNAcentral is "bacterial SSU rRNA". It matches the Rfam family "Bacterial small subunit ribosomal RNA", at positions 46 to 526 of the family's 1533-position model. The record is from RNAcentral.
GCUUACCAUGCAAGUCGAGGGGUAUAGUUCUUCGGAACUUGAGACCGGCGCACGGGUGCGUAACGCGUAUGCAAUCUACCUUUCACAAAGGGAUAGCCCAAAGAAAUUUGGAUUAAUACCUUAUAGUAUAUAUGAAUGGCAUCAUUUAUAUAUUAAAGAUUUAUCGGUGAAAGAUGAGCAUGCGUCCCAUUAGCUAGUUGGUAAGGUAACGGCUUACCAAGGCAACGAUGGGUAGGGGUCCUGAGAGGGAGAUCCCCCACACUGGUACUGAGACACGGACCAGACUCCUACGGGAGGCAGCAGUGAGGAAUAUUGGACAAUGGGCGCAAGCCUGAUCCAGCCAUGCCGCGGUGCAGGAUGACGGUCCUAUGGAUUGUAAACUGCUUUUUAUACGAGAAGAAAAACCCCGACGUGUCGGGACUUGACGGUAUCGUAAGAAUAAGGAUCGGCUAACUCCGUGCCAGCAGCCCGCGGUAAUAC